Styela clava is the source of this 434-nucleotide non-coding RNA. The record is from RefSeq and is a predicted model, not a curated record. NCBI's taxonomy places the organism in Eukaryota, Metazoa, Chordata, Ascidiacea, Stolidobranchia, Styelidae.
GCAGGCUGCAGCAAUUAAUGGCUCUAAAAUAUUUAAAAUUCAUUGUACCUUUACCCCGACCGGGAGAAAAUAUGCUCAAUUCAAAAGGAAAACAAUCCAAACGACUUUUGACUGUCUACCAACUUCUGACAUUAUUUCUCGAGAUGAACAAAUACUAAGGAAGACAUACAGAGAACACAAUCGCAUCGUGCAAGAGAAAGCUCCAAAAGAUAGACUACUCGUUUUCAACCUUUCCGAUGGUUGGAAGCCGCUGUGCAAAUUUCUCGAAAAGGACAUUCCUGAUGUAUCAUUUCCUUAUUCUAACAAAGGAUCUCCUUUUGAAGAUCCUAGCGUUGCCCCUCUGCUCUUUCGAAGAUUGGAUCAAGAAUUGUAUUUUCUCAUUUCUUUCUUAGUUAUUAUCGUCGAUAUUAUUAUAGUUUUUCUGUUCUUUAAUA